This 822-nucleotide ribosomal RNA is filed under the name uncultured Alphaproteobacteria bacterium. Its description in RNAcentral is "bacterial SSU rRNA". It matches the Rfam family "Bacterial small subunit ribosomal RNA", at positions 379 to 1217 of the family's 1533-position model. The record is from RNAcentral. Lineage: Bacteria; Pseudomonadati; Pseudomonadota; Alphaproteobacteria.
AACCCUGAUGCAGCGAUGCCGCGUGAGUGAAGAAGGCCUUUGGGUUGUAAAGCUCUUUCGUCGGGGAAGAAAAUGACUGUACCCGAAUAAGAAGGUCCGGCUAACUUCGUGCCAGCAGCCGCGGUAAUACGAAGGGACCUAGCGUAGUUCGGAAUUACUGGGCUUAAAGAGCACGUAGGUGGUUAAAAAAGUUGAUGGUGAAAUCCCAAGGCUCAACCUUGGAACUGCCAUCAAAACUUUUUAACUAGAGUAUGAUAGAGGAAAGUGGAAUUUCUAGCGUAGAGGUGAAAUUCGUAGAUAUUAGAAAGAACACCGAUUGCGAAGGCAGCUUUCUGGAUCAUUACUGACACUGAGGUGCGAAAGCAUGGGUAGCCAAGAGGAUUAGAUACCCUCGUAGUCCAUGCCGUAAACGAUGUCUGCUAGACGUUGGAAAUUUAUUUUUUCAGUGUCGCAGCAAAAGCGUUAAGCAGACCGCCUGGGGAGUACGACCGCAAGGUUAAAACUCAAAUGAAUUGACGGGGACCCGCACAAGUAGUGGAGCAUGUGGUUUAAUUCGAAGAUACGCGCAGAACCUUACCAACACUUGACAUGUUCGUCGCGACUCUAAGAGAUUAGAGUUUUCGGUUCGGCCGGACGAAACACAGGUGCUGCAUGGCUGUCGUCAGCUCGUGUCGUGAGAUGUUGGGUUAAGUCCCGCAACGAGCGCAACCCUCACUUUUAGUUGCCAUCAUUAAGUUGGGCACUCUGAAAGAACUGCCAGUGAUAAGCUGGAGGAAGGUGGGGAUGACGUCAAGUCCUCAUGGCCCUUACGUGUUGGGCUAC